GAUGAACGCUGGCGGCGUGCCUAAUACAUGCCAGUCGAGCGAACGGACGAGAAGCUUGCUUCUCUGAUGUUAGCGGCGGACGGGUGAGUAACACGUGGAUAACCUACCUAUAAGACUGGGAUAACUUCGGGAAACCGGAGCUAAUACCGGAUAAUAUUUUGAACCGCAUGGUUCAAAAGUGAAAGACGGUCUUGCUGUCACUUAUAGAUGGAUCCGCGCCGCAUUAGCUAGUUGGUAAGGUAACGGCUUACCAAGGCAACGAUGCAUAGCCGACCUGAGAGGGUGAUCGGCCACACUGGAACUGAGACAAGGUCCAGACUCCUACGGGAGGCAGCAGUAGGGAAUCUUCCGCAAUGGGCGAAAGCCUGACGGAGCAACGCCGCGUGAGUGAUGAAGGUCUUCGGAUCGUAAAACUCUGUUAUUAGGGAAGAACAUAUGUGUAAGUAACUGUGCACAUCUUGACGGUACCUAAUCAGAAAGCCACGGCUAACUACGUG
RNAcentral lists this ribosomal RNA (497 nucleotides) under uncultured bacterium. RNAcentral describes it as "partial 16S ribosomal RNA". It matches the Rfam family "Bacterial small subunit ribosomal RNA", at positions 28 to 507 of the family's 1533-position model. The record is from RNAcentral.